UGAACUGAACUGCUACAGAAAUGCAUGUACUGUUGUAUGUGUGUAUUUGUGUUCAGUUCCCGGUUGGAGAGGGUUUCAAUCUGCUGCUGUAUCCGUUAUCUGUGAUGGGGCCGUAUGGAUCUCACACCGUUCUGAUACCAGCGACCGGGACAGAGCAGAACACACAGCGCAGCCAAACUCCACAGGCAAACAGCAGCAAGAUCAGCGCUCAUAGUGAGUCCAAGCCAUUACAUGCAAACAGUGGGUUUCUCCAGCCAGACCCUGCCCCUGACUCCGCCCCUAGUCCCACCCAUCUCCCGUCUGAAUCUUUGCCUUUGCAGGGGCAGUCAGACUCGGGCAGUUCAGAGGAAGAAGCCGCUGCUCAGGUGAUCUAUAUGGUUCCCAUCAGCGUGGGUUCACCCAGCAUGGGUGUGAUGGAGGGCACGGGGCCCAAUCCUGGCCCUGGACCCCUGCAGUUCAUGGGCAGCACCACUCCUGCUGCGGCGCAGCUGGACGCUCGGGGACAGCGGGCACAGACAGAGACGCUCGCUCCAGGAGUCCUCUGACCACAGGACAACACUCGCUGAUUCACUGAUGCCAGUCUUUAAGGCGGAUGAAGUGUUGAGUUAACCUGAACGCUGCAGGAUUAAUGGGUUUAUGGUGAUUAGUGGAGAAAGCUGACUGGGCACAUUAUCAGACAGAUAAUCUCUCAACCUGCUGCACUCAAGGUGAACAUUGCAAAAUAACACAUACUAACACACUAAACACAUAUGAUGAGAGCUAGAUCAAGACAAACGGAGAACACUGAUGUUUCACUGUAAAUUUGUGUGUGGCAGAGCGAAUGCAA
RNAcentral lists this long non-coding RNA (826 nucleotides) under Carassius auratus (goldfish). RNAcentral describes it as "lncRNA (ENSCARG00000011006.1)". Lineage: Eukaryota; Metazoa; Chordata; Actinopteri; Cypriniformes; Cyprinidae. The record is from RNAcentral.